Molecule: ribosomal RNA, 585 nt
Filed under: uncultured bacterium
Lineage: Bacteria
Description: partial 16S ribosomal RNA
Rfam family: Bacterial small subunit ribosomal RNA
Source: RNAcentral
UGGGGAAUUUUGGACAAUGGGCGAAAGCCUGAUCCAGCAAUGCCGCGUGUGUGAAGAAGGCCUUCGGGUUGUAAAGCACUUUUGUCCGGAAAGAAAUCCUUGGCUCUAAUACAGUCGGGGGAUGACGGUACCGGAAGAAUAAGCACCGGCUAACUACGUGCCAGCAGCCGCGGUAAUACGUAGGGUGCAAGCGUUAAUCGGAAUUACUGGGCGUAAAGCGUGCGCAGGCGGUUUGCUAAGACCGAUGUGAAAUCCCCGGGCUCAACCUGGGAACUGCAUUGGUGACUGGCAGGCUAGAGUAUGGCAGAGGGGGGUAGAAUUCCACGUGUAGCAGUGAAAUGCGUAGAGAUGUGGAGGAAUACCGAUGGCGAAGGCAGCCCCCUGGGCCAAUACUGACGCUCAUGCACGAAAGCGUAGGGAGCAAACAGGAUUAGAUACCCUGGUAGUCCACGCCCUAAACGAUGUCAACUAGUUGUUGGGGAUUCAUUUCCUUAGUAACGUAGCUAACGCGUGAAGUUGACCGCCUGGGGAGUACGGUCGCAAGAUUAAAACUCAAAGGAAUUGACGGGGUCAUAGCUGUUUCCU